RNAcentral lists this ribosomal RNA (253 nucleotides) under uncultured bacterium. RNAcentral's name for it is "partial 16S ribosomal RNA". It matches the Rfam family "Bacterial small subunit ribosomal RNA", at positions 524 to 776 of the family's 1533-position model. The record is from RNAcentral.
UACGGAGGGUGCAAGCGUUAUCCGGAUUCACUGGGUUUAAAGGGUGCGUAGGCGGGCAGGUAAGUCAGUGGUGAAAUCUCCGGGCUUAACCCGGAAACUGCCAUUGAUACUAUCUGUCUUGAAUACCCUGGAGGUGAGCGGAAUAUGUCAUGUAGCGGUGAAAUGCUUAGAUAUGACAUAGAACACCCAUUGCGAAGGCAGCUCACUACGGGAAUAUUGACGCUGAGGCACGAAAGCGUGGGGAUCAAACAGG